Molecule: non-coding RNA, 104 nt
Organism: Podarcis lilfordi (Lilford's wall lizard)
Lineage: Eukaryota; Metazoa; Chordata; Lepidosauria; Squamata; Lacertidae
Source: the annotation of a GenBank genome assembly
UUAUAGACCGACUAAGUUUGUUCUGGUACGAGCUUUUGUGUGCAUCUGAAGAAGUGUGCAUGCACACGAAAGCCUAUACCAGAACAAACUUAGUUGGUCUAUAA